AUUCAAGUAGCUUAUUUAUGAGAGCGUGACAUUGAAGAUGUUAAAGAGGUUGUUAAAUCCUUGAAUA
This 67-nucleotide transfer RNA is filed under the name Styloperla spinicercia. Its description in RNAcentral is "tRNA-Phe". It matches the Rfam family "tRNA". Rfam says of the family: Transfer RNA (tRNA) molecules are approximately 80 nucleotides in length. Their secondary structure includes four short double-helical elements and three loops (D, anti-codon, and T loops). Lineage: Eukaryota; Metazoa; Arthropoda; Insecta; Plecoptera; Styloperlidae. The record is from RNAcentral.